UUGAAAAGUUAGCGGAUGACCUGUGGAUCGGAGUGAAAGGCUAAUCAAGCUCGGAGAUAGCUGGUUCUCCUCGAAAGCUAUUUAGGUAGCGCCUCGUGUAUCACUGCUGGGGGUAGAGCACUGUUUCGGCUAGGGGGUCAUCCCGACUUACCAAACCGAUGCAAACUCCGAAUACCAGCAAGUGUCAGCACGGGAGACACACGGCGGGUGCUAACGUCCGUCGUGAAAAGGGAAACAACCCAGACCGUCAGCUAAGGUCCCAAAAUCCUGGUUAAGUGGGAAACGAUGUGGGAAGGCUUAGACAGCUAGGAGGUUGGCUUAGAAGCAGCCACCCUUUAAAGAAAGCGUAAUAGCUCACUGGUCGAGUCGGCCUGCGCGGAAGAUGUAACGGGGCUCAAACCAG
RNAcentral lists this ribosomal RNA (403 nucleotides) under Klebsiella pneumoniae. RNAcentral describes it as "partial 23S ribosomal RNA". It matches the Rfam family "Bacterial large subunit ribosomal RNA", at positions 789 to 1190 of the family's 2925-position model. The record is from RNAcentral. Lineage: Bacteria; Pseudomonadati; Pseudomonadota; Gammaproteobacteria; Enterobacterales; Enterobacteriaceae.